UCGAGAAACUUCCACAAUGGGCGAAAGCCUGAUGGAGCGACGUCGCGUGAUGGACGAAGUGCUUCGGCACGUAAACAUCUUUUAUGUGGGAUGAAAUUAUUGACAGUACCACAUGAAUAAGGGGCUCCUAACUCUGUGCCAGCAGGAGCGGUAAUACAGAGGCCCCAAGCGUUAUCCGGAAUCACUGGGCGUAAAGGGUGUCGAGGCGGUUGUAUUAGUCGUUCGUAAAAUCUACGAGCUUAACUUGUAGGCGGCGAACGAAACGGUACGACUUGAGGUUUGGAGAGGUGCGUGGAACUCACGGUGUAGGGGUGAAAUCCGUUGAUAUCGUGGGGAACACCAAAGGCGAAGGCAGCGCACUGGCCAAAAUCUGACGCUCACACACGAAAGCUAGGGUAGCGAAGAGGAUUAGAUACCCACGUAGUCCCUGAGCGGGCUGGCAAGGCGC
This 448-nucleotide ribosomal RNA is filed under the name uncultured bacterium. RNAcentral describes it as "bacterial SSU rRNA". It matches the Rfam family "Bacterial small subunit ribosomal RNA", at positions 355 to 823 of the family's 1533-position model. The record is from RNAcentral.